This 497-nucleotide ribosomal RNA is filed under the name uncultured bacterium. RNAcentral's name for it is "bacterial SSU rRNA". It matches the Rfam family "Bacterial small subunit ribosomal RNA", at positions 28 to 518 of the family's 1533-position model. The record is from RNAcentral.
GAUGAACGCUAGCGACAGGCCUAACACAUGCAAGUCGAGGGGCAGCACAAGGAGCAAUCUGAGGUGGCGACCGGCGCACGGGUGAGUAACACGUAUGCAACCUACCUGUAAGAGGGGAAUAACCCGUUAGAAAACGGACUAAUACCGCAUAACACUGUAGAACCGCAUGGUUUGACAGUUAAACAUUUAUGGCUUACAGAUGGGCAUGCGCAUGAUUAGCUAGUUGGUGAGGUAACGGCUCACCAAGGCAACGAUCAUUAGGGGUUCUGAGAGGAACGGUCCCCCACACUGGUACUGAGACACGGACCAGACUCCUACGGGAGGCAGCAGUGAGGAAUAUUGGUCAAUGGGCGAGAGCCUGAACCAGCCAAGUCGCGUGAAGGAUGAAGGUUUUAUGAAUUGUAAACUUCUUUGCAGGGGAAUAAAGUGUCCGACGUGUCGGUAUUUUGUAUGUACUCUGCGAAUAAGGAUCGGCUAACUCCGUGCCAGCAGCCGAC